RNAcentral lists this unclassified non-coding RNA (565 nucleotides) under Bombus terrestris (buff-tailed bumblebee). RNAcentral's name for it is "misc RNA ENSBTSG00005026198.1". Lineage: Eukaryota; Metazoa; Arthropoda; Insecta; Hymenoptera; Apidae. The record is from RNAcentral.
UUACGGAGUCCUUGCUUGGGAUUAUUGUGUUGUUAAUGGUGACCUGGGGGCAGGUUUGUUUUCGGAGCGUGAAGGUUACAUGAGAGGAUUUUUUUCGUUUAUUUUGAAGCCCCAUUUUUGGAACCACUUUUCCAUGGUGUCGAGACUUCGCUGGAGAGUGGAUGAGGCAAUUGCCGGGUCUGCGUGGGUAGCUAAUAGAGCUGUGUCGUCGGCAAAUGUUGCUAUUGUUACCUCGUUUGAUAUAGGUAAGAUUUUAAGAUGGAGUAGUAUGGGUGGGGUAGGAUUUUUUAAGCUUGUAGAGUAGCCCUUCAUGCCAUACUUUGUCGAAUGCCUGUCGGAUGUCUAGGAAUACCGCUGAACAGUAUUUUUUCUUUUCAAGGGUUUGACUGAUCAUGUGGGUUAUGCGGUGGAUUUGCUCUACUGUUGAGUGUUGUUUUCGGAAGCCGAAUUGGUGGUCUGGGAGUGUUUUCAAUUCUUCUAGGAGUGGGAGGAGACGAUUCGUGAGCAUCCUCUCGAAUAGUUUAGACAAGGUAGGUAAGAGACUGAUUGGGCGAUAAGAGGUGGU